UUUGCUGACGAGUGGCGGACGGGUGAGUAAUGCUUGGGAACUUGCCUUUGGGAGGGGGAUAACAGUUGGAAACGACUGCUAAUACCGCAUAACGUCUACGGACCAAAGGGGGCUUCGGCUCCUACCUGAAGAGAGGCCCAAGUGAGAUUAGCUAGUUGGUGAGGUAAAGGCUCACCAAGGCGACGAUCUCUAGCUGUUCUGAGAGGAAGAUCAGCCACACUGGGACUGAGACACGGCCCAGACUCCUACGGGAGGCAGCAGUGGGGAAUAUUGCACAAUGGGGGAAACCCUGAUGCAGCCAUGCCGCGUGUGUGAAGAAGGCCUUCGGGUUGUAAAGCACUUUCAGUUGUGAGGAAAGGUUGGUAGUUAAUACCUGCCAGCUGUGACGUUAACAACAGAAGAAGCACCGGCUAACUCCGUGCCAGCAGCCGCGGUAAUACGGAGGGUGCGAGCGUUAAUCGGAAUUACUGGGCGUAAAGCGGACGCAGGCGGUUUGUUAAGCUAGAUGUGAAAGCCCCGGGCUCAACCUGGGAUGGUCAUUUAGAACUGGCAGACUAGAGUCUUGGAGAGGGGAGUGGAAUUCCAGGUGUAGCGGUGA
This 598-nucleotide ribosomal RNA is filed under the name Alteromonas tagae. RNAcentral's name for it is "bacterial SSU rRNA". It matches the Rfam family "Bacterial small subunit ribosomal RNA", at positions 84 to 684 of the family's 1533-position model. The record is from RNAcentral. Lineage: Bacteria; Pseudomonadati; Pseudomonadota; Gammaproteobacteria; Alteromonadales; Alteromonadaceae.